RNAcentral lists this long non-coding RNA (474 nucleotides) under Fragaria vesca (wild strawberry). RNAcentral describes it as "long non-coding RNA (FVES_LNC004283)". Lineage: Eukaryota; Viridiplantae; Streptophyta; Magnoliopsida; Rosales; Rosaceae. The record is from RNAcentral.
UGACGACAAUAGCAAAGGAUAGCUAGGUAUAAUGUAGCAAUAGCAUUAUGUAUACGUGGGUUCCAUAAUACGGAUGAAGAGGAGAGACAAUAAGUAAUUACCUUUGACGGGAAUAAAAUUAUAUCAUUAGUUUACCGAUCAUUCAUAUUUAACUCACAUGCUCUGCCAACCAUGCAUACGUAUUGAGAUGUGAAUCGGCUCAUAUAUAAUAACAACACCAAUCGUAAUUUAUACCACUUAAUUAUUAUUAACAGGUCUGAUCUUUUUAAAAUAUAUAUAUAUAUAUAUUUUCUCAGGUGCAGAUGUCCAUAUAUAUGGAGAUGUGAAAAUUCAAUUGAAAAGUGAGUGUAAAGUGAAAAUCCGCACCGUAAGAAUAAAAGCGGACGUCCGCAGCUGAGAAGCUCUGUGUGUGUGUGUGUAUAUAUAUAUAUAUAUAUAUUAUACUAAACUGUUAGAAGUUAUAUUCUGUUGUCA